Long non-coding RNA from Aethalodelphis obliquidens (Pacific white-sided dolphin), 4250 nucleotides. RefSeq lists it as uncharacterized. The transcript is spliced from 9 exons. The record is from RefSeq and is a predicted model, not a curated record. Lineage: Eukaryota; Metazoa; Chordata; Mammalia; Artiodactyla; Delphinidae.
UACCUUUUUAUUGGAACCCACAGGAAGAAAUACGUGUCACAUUAGGACCCAGUGCACGCACUUGCACACGUGGAUGUAUGGUUUCCUGAUACAUCUUCACUAUAUGGAAGGAAGAAAGGAUGGAGUUUGAACUGAUUUGCCAGGAAUCAUGUUCCGAAUGGAUCCAGGAUAUUGAAGUGUAAAAGAGCAGGAAACAGCCUUGAGUCUUGGGAGACUUCUGGGCUUUGCGCUUGGCACUGACUCCUCCACAGAAGCAAGGGGUGCAUCUGGCUGUUAGAAGAAUUAAUGGGCAUCCAGUGCCUUGAUUUUCCCACUGAGAAAAAUGAGGAGGCUGCGAUAUACCUGGGGACAGGAUCAGUAGCUUCACUUCUCACCUCAGAACUUGCCAUGUCUCUUUCCGGCUCGGGAAGUAUGAUGCUCCGCACAGACAGGCAUCUACGUGCGAGAAAGUUAAUGGCGCAGAAUGCUGCUGACUGCGUGGUUCUCGUCUUAAUACAUUUUCCAACCUUGAACCUGAGAAUGCCAGAGGCUCAAGUCUCUGAACGCUCGUCUGAGCCGUUAUCUGCUGGUGGCCUGGUUCCUGACCUAACAAGUGGCUGUCCCAGGCGUGCGUGUGGUAAUAGCAGCAGUGGUGCCACGUGGCGCCCAGAGGUCGCCUUGGUCUGCCCUGGAGAUUCCUGGUCCUUGGUGAAGCUUCUGAGUUGAACUGUGAACUUGGGGCAUCCUGAGAAGCGCAGGCAUUUUGGAGUUCCACAGCAAACCUGGAUGUUAAGUGUAAACACAGCUUAUAAAGUGAAAGCAGGGGCCUUGAGGAAGGGAACCCUCAUCUGGAUCGGGACCUGCUUACUGUGCUGGAAAACAAAAGAUACACAUCCAUAUACUUGCCUGAACGUGUGAGUCCUUGGAAUUACGGAUUCGUUGCCGGUAGCUGGUGAUCUCCUACGCAGAAGGUCGCUAACUACAAGAAAUGUUACGUGCGGUGAGUAGGUGGUAGAUUCUGAAGAUUAUUGCUAACCCCAUGCUCGUCCUCUUGAGUCAUGGAUUCAGAGGACUGCUAGCAAGCUCUUAAAUACUUCUGCUUUGUAUGAUUUAAUGGAUGGAGCUGCUGGACUCAUGGAAGCCUGUGAAAAGUUUUUCAGAGCAUGGGUUAAUUGCAUAAUCAUUGAAUCUUUUGAAUAUAUUAGUCCUUUGGAGGGAGAAAAGAUGUUUUACAGAAGGAAGCAGUUUGUGGGGGGCUUUUAGAGAUGCAGUUACUUCUCUUCUGUGUUUUAAGUAUCACUCCAUCUUCUUGUGUGAAAGAAAGAAAUGACUACACGGUUUCAACAGAGAAAAAGUUACGCCAACUCUUUUUAAGUGAAGAAAUUUCAUCCACGUGUUACUCCUAACUGGAUUUUUGUCCUCCUGACUAUUCACAAGGGGAAACUACCCCAUGAAAAAGACUGACCUUCUGGCAGUAUCUGCGAUGUGUCUCACCCAAAACCCGGUGGGCUUUCCAUGGAUUAUUGGCAGCACUUUUAUCGAGGGGGCAAAGAGAGGGAAUCCAGUUACUGGAAACAGUGAGUGCAGCUUCAGAAAUUGUUCUCUCUCCUGAGCGGAGAAGUUGUUUGACCUACUGACUCAUUUCAUAGGAAUUGGGGAAAACAACCUAGUGUGGUUUUCAUUGUUAGUCCUGGAGGAUUCCAAAGUCUGUGUGUCUGCAAAUAAGAUGAGCUGGAGAAAGGUAGUGUUGCCCCUUGCUGUUUCUACUUGCUUGUUCUCCUGAUGGAAUUCAAUCCCUUGCUUCCAGGACAAGUCUAGCCUGUGCUUGGAGAUCCUUUGUGUGGCUGUUCAGUGGUGCUGACCUUCUGAACCAAUGCCCCCUGAGGACUUCUGUGCCUGGAAAAUAUCUGCCUACAGAUUUCUUUGACACCCUAUGUGCCGCUUCUGCUGUUCGGGACCAAAGCUGGUUUCAGUGGUUUGCUCAUGUGCUUAUUGACGAAACCCUGCACCUCAGAGCCCGUUUAUGUUCAGAGGUCCACAUGGCCAUGUGAAGAUUGGCCGUUACAGUAUCUGUAAAGCACCAAGCAGCAAAGAAUGGAAAGACACCUGCCACGUUGGGAUCUGCCCAAUGGAGAGGCACAUCUGGCAAGGAAUUGAUGGCUUCAGACAGUAGCUCAUGAGGACCCGAGGCCUUCCAAGAGCCACAUGAGUCAACUUGAAAAUGAAUCCCCCUGCAACCAGCCUGGGGAUGACUGCAACUGCAGCCAAACCCUUGACUGUAGCCUAUGAGAGACCCUGAGCCAGAGGACCCAGUUAAAAUGUGCCCGGAUUCCUGACCCACAGAAAUUGUGACAUAAUACAUGUUUGUUGUUUUAAGCCACUACAUUUUGGGGUUAUUUGUUAUGCAGCAGUAGAUAACUAUACAACUCAAAGUACUCAUGUCUAGACUCAAACUUUCUGCUUACAGUACCUAACUUUUUAGAUAAACUUUUUGUUGGAAUAACUUUAAAGAAAAGAUGUACAAAGAACACCCUCUGUUACAUUGUAUGUAAUCAUGGUACAUUGUCAGUACUAACAAACCAACAUUGGUACCUUAUUGUUAACUAAAUUUCAGGCUUGAUUCACAUCUCACUAGUUUUUCCACUAAGGUCCUUUUUCUAUUCCAGGAUUGGGGUCAUAUUUGUAAUAGCCUAAUAGAUAUCACACCCGAUAACUCUUUGUGUAGAGAAAGAGAGAUGAAAUAUACAUGUGUUUGCUAAAAUUUGGGAGACCUACCCAUAGAUAAGAAAAGAAUAUUACCAAAGUCUUUAAUCAGGGAUCUUCUUUAUAAUUAUUUGGAAAAAUAACCAUUACAUUACUUAGCUGAAAACUAUUAUGUGAAGUUACUGAGGGGAGAGGUGGGAGUGGCUCCAGGUAAUAACUGAUAAGGCCCUAACAAGUCAGAAAUACUUUAAAAAAAUAAAAUAUACCUUUCUAAAAAGCAAUAAUAUUUUAAUAAACUAAAACUUUUAGAGUUUUCAUUUAUUAAUAAGCAUGUCAAAUACUACAAGAUUCACCAAUGUUUCAUUUGCCUUAUGAUGUUGGUAUAAAUUAAUUUUUAUUUAUAUAAUAUGCAAAUACCUAAUUUGCUUGUAACUAUUUAAAUGGCAACUAUUCAACUAAAAGUACUAAUCUGCGUUUUUCUUCAUUCCUGUGCAGUGUGAUACUGGCAAGUCACUUGGUCUUUCUGGGUUUUUCUUUGGAAUGAAUUUAUAUUGCUAGAAUUUUACCACAAAUCAGUCAUGCACUACAACCACUUAGUAGCUGUAAACAUUUUGCAAACAAAACUCUGUGUACAAAGUUUAAUAAAACUAACCACUCUCUAAUUGCUUAAACAUUUAGCUGCAUUAUUUUGCAGCAUUGUUCCAAGUGAUUCGUAAAGAACAAUCCACAUAAAAGUAAAACUUUUAGGAAAGAAUGAGUGAUGUUACUUAAAGGAGAAAAGACACCCCAUUUUUACAUACACUCUCGUGGUUGAGUUUUUUUAGUAGGGUGUAUAAACGAGGACAUCAAGUGACUUAGGAGAAAAUAACAAGCACAGCGACGCUUUGGAUAGAUCCUAAAAAGCUAUUAAGUGAGAUAGGAUUUUUCAGAUCUUGGCGACCUACCAAAAACCCAAAUAAACAAACCACUAAAAAAUAACAACAGAAACAAAUUUGAACUCUGAAAAUAAUGCACUCAUGAGACCCCAAGUCUUAGUGGCCAAGGUUUGUUUCUUGGCUUGUCUCUUAAGGAUCAAGGUCUUCUUUGUGGCCAGAAUGACUUACCUGAUUUUCAGUAAUUGACUAUUGAAUAAAACAGACAAUAGAAGAUGUUGCAGAAGGACGGGAUGCCAAAGAAUGAGAAAUAAAUACGAUUGGGAAAAAAGGGAGCAGAAUACAGUGUAACCUCAUUCACAAGCCGUCACUUCCCAGAACUCUGAAUUCAUUAAGUUUUCCGCACUUCUCUACUCUGAAAGUGUCAGAUGACAAGAAAGCAAGCUGUUAAGUUUACUGAAGAACUGCAUGCAUAAAUAUUUCUAAUAUUAUAUUUUGAGGUUAGUACAUAAUUCAUUUCUGUCUAAUGUGCCUACAGUAUAAUCUUGGCUAUGCAGGGUUAUGACUGAUCCUCAGAAACCGUGGAAACCAUAAAUCAUCGAAGGCUUCAAUCAUAUUCAUCAUCCUAUGCUUACUAAAGCCAGAAGGAUGUAGAAAUAUGUUGCAGAGACUUUGUAAACAACUCUCAUUUAGCCA